RNAcentral lists this long non-coding RNA (825 nucleotides) under Monodelphis domestica (gray short-tailed opossum). Its description in RNAcentral is "lncRNA (ENSMODG00000050715.1)". The record is from RNAcentral. Lineage: Eukaryota; Metazoa; Chordata; Mammalia; Didelphimorphia; Didelphidae.
GAUCUUGAACUCUUCAAUGCUUGGCUAAACCCUUAAGCACUCCACAAAACCUUCUUCCACCACUUUUAUGGAUAUUGGAAUGAAUUGUUCUCAUCUGCCCAUUCCAAGAGAGGAAGUCUUUACAUCCCCCUAACUCACUGACAGUCCCAGUGUGGAAGCCUGCUAUGAGUCAAACUUCCUGUGUCUUGUUCCCACUCUACUGGGAGAGGAGUAAAGUGAGGUCUAGAGAAAACAAGUGCCUGCAGGGAUGCCCUGACUGGAAGCUGGGAGGUCAAAGAUUCUCAUAAAAGAUGCCUCUGAGGGGCUAAGCCUGGAGCUGGAGACAUAGGGAAGGUAUGAUAGAGAAUCACUCUGACUGUCCUAGGGGGCGGUCCUCAUAAAAGGUGGUGAGGGCUGAGGGGAGAAAAAGGGACCAGACAGUAGAUUGAGGGCUGGCCCUCAGAUAGGGAAUAGAAGACAUUUAGCAAAGGUAUCCCAAUGAGGGCAAAAUCUGGGGCUAAUGUAAAAGAACAGGUCAGCUAAUUCUUGCAUCACAACAUAGGGGGAAGAGACAAAGCUGAGUAACCCCUUCACCCAAAGUCACUUCACCCUGUUGGCCUCAGUUUCCUUAUCUGUCAGAUGAGAUGGAGAAGGAAAUGACAAACCACUCUAGUAACUCUGCCUAGAAAACCCCAAAAGGGGUCAUGAAAUGUCGAAUAUGACUAAAUGACAACAAAAAGGAUCUUUACUCUUCUUGCCUAAGGUUACACAGCUAAAUUUGAGGCCAGAUUUGAACUCAGGUCUUCCUGACUCCAAGCUCUGUACACUAGCUGCCCUAGUAAACAU